UGCCAAGAGGAGCAAAUCCAAAGGCUCCAAGAGGCUAUUGAGCGACAACAGGCGGCGAUGACGCAGGCUGGUGCCGUACCUUCUGCGCCCCCUGUCACGGUCGAGGGUUUAGCGGUGGAGCCGGUUGCGGCUGUGCCAGUUACAGUGGUGCCGGCCAGAUCGAAAACCUCAAAUCCCGAUAGUGCGGCAGUAGAGGCGGAGCGGGAGCACACGUUGGCAGCUCUCUUACAGUUUAAGAAGUUUGACCCUCUUACCUUCGAAGGCGGUUUGGUGGAGCCAGCGGUUGUGGA
Molecule: long non-coding RNA, 290 nt
Filed under: Ananas comosus (pineapple)
Lineage: Eukaryota; Viridiplantae; Streptophyta; Magnoliopsida; Poales; Bromeliaceae
Description: long non-coding RNA (ACOM_LNC023252)
Source: RNAcentral